AAAGGGGCUUCGGCCCUGAGUAAAGUGGCGGACGGGUGAGUAACACGUGGAUGAUCUACCCUUCAGCGGGGGAUAACAGUCCGAAAGGAUUGCUAAUACCGCAUACGUCGGCCGGGGAUGCCCGGUCGGGAAAGCAGCCCACUCCAUGGAAGGUUGCACUGAAGGAUGAGUCCGCGUCCCAUCAGCUAGUUGGUAGGGUAAUGGCCUACCAAGGCGAAGACGGGUAGCUGGUCUGAGAGGAUGAUCAGCCACACUGGAACUGAGACACGGUCCAGACUCCUACGGGAGGCAGCAGUGGGGAAUAUUGGGCAAUGGGCGCAAGCCUGACCCAGCCACGCCGCGUGAGUGAUGAAGGCCUUCGGGUCGUAAAGCUCUGUGGGGAGGGACGAAAAAACGCUGGCUAACAUCCAGCGGCCUGACGGUACCUCCUUAGCAAGCACCGGCUAACUCUGUGCCAGCAGCCGCGGUAA
Molecule: ribosomal RNA, 470 nt
Filed under: uncultured delta proteobacterium
Lineage: Bacteria; Deltaproteobacteria
Description: bacterial SSU rRNA
Rfam family: Bacterial small subunit ribosomal RNA
Source: RNAcentral